AGAGAGAGAGAGAGAGAGAGAGAGAGAGCUCCUCAGCUGGUCCUGCCAAGGACAGCUCUGUGUGGUGGUGGUGUUGAGCACAGGCUGGGGGCUCCGUGCUGAGCUGUGGUGGUGUUGAGCACAGGCUGGGGGCUCCGUGCUGAGCUGGGGGAAUGCAGCGCUGCAGUGCUCCGCCUCACAAUCAGUAUAGCGGUCAAACCGACCUUCUGGGACCAACCUCAUACAGUCCACCCACACGCACACACACACACACACACACACACACACACACACAG
Clupea harengus (Atlantic herring) is the source of this 275-nucleotide long non-coding RNA. RefSeq lists it as uncharacterized. The transcript is spliced from 3 exons. The record is from RefSeq and is a predicted model, not a curated record. NCBI's taxonomy places the organism in Eukaryota, Metazoa, Chordata, Actinopteri, Clupeiformes, Clupeidae.